Molecule: ribosomal RNA, 441 nt
Filed under: uncultured bacterium
Lineage: Bacteria
Description: partial 16S ribosomal RNA
Rfam family: Bacterial small subunit ribosomal RNA
Source: RNAcentral
CCUACGGGUGGCAGCAGUGGGGAAUAUUGCACAAUGGGGGAAACCCUGAUGCAGCAACGCCGCGUGAGUGAAGAAGUAUUUCGGUAUGUAAAGCUCUAUCAGCAGGGAAGAAGAAAGACGGUACCUGACUAAGAAGCCCCGGCUAACUACGUGCCAGCAGCCGCGGUAAUACGUAGGGGGCAAGCGUUAUCCGGAUGUACUGGGUGUAAAGGGAGCGUAGACGGCAGCACAAGUCUGGAGUGAAAUCCUGGGGCUUAACCCCGGAACUGCUUUGGAAACUGUGCGGCUGGAGUGCAGGAGGGGUAAGCGGAAUUCCUAGUGUAGCGGUGAAAUGCGUAGAUAUUAGGAGGAACACCGGUGGCGAAGGCGGCUUACUGGACUGUAACUGACAUUGAUGCUCGAAAGUGUGGGUAUCAAACAGGAUUAGAUACCCUUGUAGUC